RNAcentral lists this ribosomal RNA (254 nucleotides) under uncultured bacterium. Its description in RNAcentral is "partial 16S ribosomal RNA". It matches the Rfam family "Bacterial small subunit ribosomal RNA", at positions 524 to 776 of the family's 1533-position model. The record is from RNAcentral.
UACGAAGGGUGCAAGCGUUAUUCGGAAUGAUUGGGCGUAAAGGGUGCGCAGACGGUAUGUUAAGUCAACUGUUAAAUUUCCCAGCCUAACUGGGAGCAAGCAGUAGAAACUGGCUGUACUAGAGGAUGGAAGAGAGAAGUGGAAUUCUCGGAGUAGCGGUAAAAUGCGUAGAUCUCGAGAGGAACACCGAUGGCGAAGGCAGCUUCUUGGUCCAUUUCUGACGUUCAAGCACGAAAGCGUGGGGAGCAAACAGG